This is a non-coding RNA of Hydra vulgaris (swiftwater hydra), 242 nucleotides long. NCBI's taxonomy places the organism in Eukaryota, Metazoa, Cnidaria, Hydrozoa, Anthoathecata, Hydridae. The record is from RefSeq and is a predicted model, not a curated record.
CGAAAUAUGUCCCGUUAUUAUGGCCCGUCAUUAUGGAAUCAAUUGAAAAAAAACAAUAUAAAAAAUUUGAAAAUCACUUUAUCUUAUAAACGACAAAUGAAAAUACAUCUCCUUAAUUUCGGACAUAUAUAACAAUGGGCAUUGGACAUCUCAAGACAUCCGACAAACAUCGAGUGGACGUCCAGACUCAUAUUUAUUAACAAUCAUGUCAACAAUAAUAUCGACAUGUCGCUACGUUAGAA